RNAcentral lists this ribosomal RNA (252 nucleotides) under uncultured Bacteroidales bacterium. RNAcentral describes it as "partial 16S ribosomal RNA". It matches the Rfam family "Bacterial small subunit ribosomal RNA", at positions 524 to 776 of the family's 1533-position model. Lineage: Bacteria; Pseudomonadati; Bacteroidota; Bacteroidia; Bacteroidales. The record is from RNAcentral.
UAAGUAGGGGGCAAGCGUUAUCCGGAUUUAUUGGGUUUAAAGGGUGCGCAGGCGGUCUGUUAAGUCAGCGGUCAAAGCCCGGGGCUCAACCCCGGCCCGCCGUUGAAACUGACGGUCUUGAGUGGGCGAGAAGUAUGCGGAAUGCGUGGUGCAGCGGUGAAAUGCAUAGAUAUCACGCAGAACCCCGAUUGCGAAGGCAGCAUACCGGCGCCCUACUGACGCUGAGGCACGAAAGUGCGGGUAUCGAACAGG